CCUCUGAGGGGAAAGGUUAUAUCGAUUAUGAGGAAUCGAAGCAUAAGCGUAUAGCUUUUCCCCUUUGGUG
This 70-nucleotide microRNA precursor is filed under the name Nasonia vitripennis (jewel wasp). Its description in RNAcentral is "mir-965 microRNA precursor family". It matches the Rfam family "mir-965 microRNA precursor family". RNAcentral also lists the same sequence under 1 other name. The record is from Rfam by way of RNAcentral. Lineage: Eukaryota; Metazoa; Arthropoda; Insecta; Hymenoptera; Pteromalidae.